GACGAACGCUGGCGGCGUGCUUAACACAUGCAAGUCGAACGCUGAAGCCCUGGCUUUUGUUGGGUUGGAUGAGUGGCGAACGGGUGAGUAACACGUGAGUAACCUGCCCUCUUCUUUGGGAUAACGCCCGGAAACGGGUGCUAAUACUGGAUAUUCACUGAUCUUCGCAUGGGGGUUGGUGGAAAGGUUUGUUCUGGUGGGGGAUGGGCUCGCGGCCUAUCAGCUUGUUGGUGGGGUGAUGGCCUACCAAGGCUUUGACGGGUAGCCGGCCUGAGAGGGUGACCGGUGACAUUGGGACGGAGAUACGGCCCAGACUCCUACGGGAGGCAGCAGUGGGGAAUAUUGCACAAUGAGCGAAAGCCUGAUGCAGCGACGCCGCGUGAGGGAUGGAGGCCUUCGGGUUGUAAACCUCUUUCGCUCAUGGUCAAGCCGCAACUGUGGGUUGUGGUGAGGGUAGUGGGUAAAGAAGCGCCGGCUAACUACGUG
This 486-nucleotide ribosomal RNA is filed under the name uncultured bacterium. RNAcentral describes it as "partial 16S ribosomal RNA". It matches the Rfam family "Bacterial small subunit ribosomal RNA", at positions 28 to 507 of the family's 1533-position model. The record is from RNAcentral.